This is a long non-coding RNA of Pseudoliparis swirei, 315 nucleotides long. RefSeq lists it as uncharacterized. Lineage: Eukaryota; Metazoa; Chordata; Actinopteri; Perciformes; Liparidae. The record is from RefSeq and is a predicted model, not a curated record. The transcript has 4 exons.
UCUACAUCCGAGCCUUCUCAGAGUACUCAAAAGGUGUCAACAAGUAAGAGGCAAGAAAAGAGAUCUCCAGGUGCAUCAACUAGUCUGCUCAAAAGAUAUGAAAAGAUGAUAACAGUGAGCUGAUUGAGUCUGCUCAGAGGGACGAAACUGACCAGCUUGAGACCUCUGUGGAUGGCCUGAAUCCAACAUUCACACAACUUGGUCUCCUCAACUGGGUUGAAGAGUUUGUUCUGGCAUCAAUCCUCAGAAGAGUUACAAAUGAUAACCAACACCCAUCACAGUUUCUGGAGUGCAUGUCCGAUGAGGAAUGCACAC